Molecule: transfer RNA, 74 nt
Filed under: Leptospiraceae bacterium
Lineage: Bacteria; Pseudomonadati; Spirochaetota; Leptospiria; Leptospirales; Leptospiraceae
Description: tRNA-Met
Rfam family: tRNA
About the family: Transfer RNA (tRNA) molecules are approximately 80 nucleotides in length. Their secondary structure includes four short double-helical elements and three loops (D, anti-codon, and T loops).
Source: RNAcentral
GGCGACAUAGCUCAGCUGGUUAGAGCAAUGGAAUCAUAAUCCACAGGUCCGGGGUUCGAAUCCCUGUGUCGCUA